UGGGGAAUCUUGCACAAUGGAGGAAACUCUGAUGCAGCGAUGCUGCGUGAGUGAAGAAGGCCUUUGGGUUGUAAAGCUCUUUUGUAGGGGAAGAUAAUGACUGUACCCUAAGAAUAAGGUCCGGCUAACUUCGUGCCAGCAGCCGCGGUAAUACGAAGGGACCUAGCGUAGUUCGGAAUUACUGGGCGUAAAGCGCGCGUAGGCCGUUGAGUUAGUUAAUUGUGAAAUCCCAACGCUUAACUUUGGAAC
This 249-nucleotide ribosomal RNA is filed under the name uncultured Pelagibacteraceae bacterium. RNAcentral describes it as "partial 16S ribosomal RNA". It matches the Rfam family "Bacterial small subunit ribosomal RNA", at positions 355 to 621 of the family's 1533-position model. Lineage: Bacteria; Pseudomonadati; Pseudomonadota; Alphaproteobacteria; Candidatus Pelagibacterales; Candidatus Pelagibacteraceae. The record is from RNAcentral.